CCAUACUCCUACGGGAGGCAGCAGCAGGGAAUAUUGCACAAUAGGCGAAAGCCUGAUGCAGCGACGCCGCGUGAGUGAAGAAGGCCUUCGGGUCGUAAAGCUCUUUUGUAGGGGAAGAGGAAGGACGGUACCCUAAGAAGAAGCGUCGGCUAACUACGUGCCAGCAGCCGCGGUAAGACGUAGGACGCGAGCGUUAUCCGGAAUUACUGGGCGUACAGGGCCAGCAGGCGGCUUGGUAAGUUGUGCGUGAAAGCCUCGUGCUCAACGCGAGGAAGCCGGACAAUACUGUCAAGCUAGAGGGCAUCAGAGGGGAGUGGAAUUCCCGGAGUAGCGGUAAAAUGCGCAGAUAUCGGGAGGAACACCGAUGGCGAAGGCAGCUCCCUGGGAUGCACCUGACGCUAAGAGGCGAAAGCUAGGGGAGCGAACAGGAUUAGAGACCCUGGUAGUCCUAGCUGUAAACGCUGGGUGCUAGGUGUGGGACGUAGAAGUUCCGUGCCGGAGCAAACGCGAUAAGCACCCCGCCUGGGAAUUACGGUCGCAAGGCUAAAACUCAAACGAAUUGACGGGGCCCCGCACAAGCAGCGGAGCGUGUGGUUCAAUCCGAUGCUACACGAAGAACCUUACCUGGAUUUGACAUGUACGUGGUACGAAGGCGAAAGCCUAAGGACCCUUCGGGGAGCGUACGCAGGUGCUGCAUGGCUGUCGUCAGCUCGUGCCGUGAGGUGUCGGGUUAAGUCCCGUAACGAGCGCAACCCUUGCCCUUAGUUACAAGUGUCUAAGGGGACUGCCGGCGGGAAGCCGGAGGAAGGUGGGGAUGACGUCAAGUCAGCAUGGCCCUUAUGUCCAGGGCUACGCACACGCUACAAUGGUCAGUACAAAGGGUAGCGAAGUCGCGAGGCGGAGCGAAUCUCAACAAAGCUGAUCGUAGUUCGGAUUGCAGGCUGCAACCCGCCUGCAUGAAGCUGGAGUUGCUAGUAACCGCGCGUCAGCCAUAGUGCGGUGAAUACGUACCCGGGGCUUGUACACACCGCCCGUCACGUCAUGGGAGUCGGUAACGCCUGAAGCCGGUAGUCUGGCCCGCAAGGGGGACGCUGUCGAAGGCGGGACUGGCAACUGGGACGAAGUCG
RNAcentral lists this ribosomal RNA (1127 nucleotides) under uncultured organism. RNAcentral describes it as "bacterial SSU rRNA". It matches the Rfam family "Bacterial small subunit ribosomal RNA", at positions 331 to 1488 of the family's 1533-position model. The record is from RNAcentral.